RNAcentral lists this ribosomal RNA (535 nucleotides) under Pantoea sp. DW39. RNAcentral's name for it is "bacterial SSU rRNA". It matches the Rfam family "Bacterial small subunit ribosomal RNA", at positions 232 to 759 of the family's 1533-position model. Lineage: Bacteria; Pseudomonadati; Pseudomonadota; Gammaproteobacteria; Enterobacterales; Erwiniaceae. The record is from RNAcentral.
CAGAUGGGAUUAGCUAGUAGGUGGGGUAACGGCUCACCUAGGCGACGAUCCCUAGCUGGUCUGAGAGGAUGACCAGCCACACUGGAACUGAGACACGGUCCAGACUCCUACGGGAGGCAGCAGUGGGGAAUAUUGCACAAUGGGCGCAAGCCUGAUGCAGCCAUGCCGCGUGUAUGAAGAAGGCCUUCGGGUUGUAAAGUACUUUCAGCGGGGAGGAAGGUGUUGAGGUUAAUAACCUCAGCAAUUGACGUUACCCGCAGAAGAAGCACCGGCUAACUCCGUGCCAGCAGCCGCGGUAAUACGGAGGGUGCAAGCGUUAAUCGGAAUUACUGGGCGUAAAGCGCACGCAGGCGGUCUGUCAAGUCGGAUGUGAAAUCCCCGGGCUCAACCUGGGAACUGCAUUCGAAACUGGCAGGCUAGAGUCUUGUAGAGGGGGGUAGAAUUCCAGGUGUAGCGGUGAAAUGCGUAGAGAUCUGGAGGAAUACCGGUGGCGAAGGCGGCCCCCUGGACAAAGACUGACGCUCAGGUGCGAAAG